This is a long non-coding RNA of Lycium ferocissimum, 334 nucleotides long. RefSeq lists it as uncharacterized. The transcript has 2 exons. The record is from RefSeq and is a predicted model, not a curated record. NCBI's taxonomy places the organism in Eukaryota, Viridiplantae, Streptophyta, Magnoliopsida, Solanales, Solanaceae.
UACGAUUCAUCUUCUCCUCACUACUACCUCUCCGGUAAUUUCUCGGAGAGUACAUUUAUGCUAUAUAUAUAUAUAUAUAUAUAUAUAAGCAAGGGUGACUCAAUAAAAUUAAUGGCCUGAAGCUGAUUUUUAAUAGAGGCGGCGGUAGCAGAAGAAUCGAGGGAAGCUGAGAGCGGGCACAGAGAGGCGGCUCUCAGUUUCCUUGUGAAUGGCAACGCACAUAACAAGAAUGGUAGAAGUGUAAUUUAGAUGAACUAGAGGGGCUAAUAUUGAAAUGAAUUGAACUUGUUGAAAUGAAGAAAAUGGUGGUGAGGAUUAGUCCUAUUUACAUAUG